UACGGAGGGUGCAAGCGUUGCUCGGAAUACUGGGCGUAAAGCGGACGCAGGCGGAUCAGCAAGUUGGGCGUGAAAGCCCGGGGCUCAACCCCGGAACUGCGUUCAAAACUGCUGGCCUGGAAUACGGGAGAGGGAAGCGGAAUUCCUGGUGUAGAGGUGAAAUUCGUAGAUAUCAGGAGGAACACCGGUGGCGAAAGCGGCUUCCUGGCCCGAUAUUGACGCUCAUGUCCGAAAGCGUGGGUAGCAAACA
Molecule: ribosomal RNA, 250 nt
Filed under: uncultured bacterium
Lineage: Bacteria
Description: partial 16S ribosomal RNA
Rfam family: Bacterial small subunit ribosomal RNA
Source: RNAcentral